Molecule: non-coding RNA, 3131 nt
Organism: Anas platyrhynchos (mallard)
Lineage: Eukaryota; Metazoa; Chordata; Aves; Anseriformes; Anatidae
Source: RefSeq, a predicted model, not a curated record
CAGCCAGCAGAGCUGUGCCAAUUCACAUGAGUGGAAAGAGUUCCAUAAAUCAGUUAUCAGACCGAUACAUUAAGGCAGCCUAUUUAAACUGCUUCUGCUUUGCUUUUAUUUAUUUACAGAUGACCUGCAGCACGUAAGGAUGAUGCUCGAGCACCACAAAGCCCAGGGCAACCAGCACUAUGAUGUCCCCUCAGGAAGACUUGAUAUCCAUCACCUGGCAGUACAAAGAAAUCUCGUUGUGACAGAUAAUAACCAAUUUGACUGCCUUUAAAAGUUUUGCCCCCAACAGAAGAAACUGCAGAUUCUACUCUGCAGGUGCUUCUUGUGCAAAAGAAUUUAAUAACCUAACUGGAUAUUCAAAAGGACAAGUCUACUGAUCCCACCCUUCCAGAAGCACGCACUGCAUUUGCAAGCAUUGCCUAUUCGUUCAUAUUUUUGUAUCUGGAGAACUAUUGUAUUUACCAAGGUAUUUUCCCCCCUAAAGGUAUACAUAUGGAUCUUAAAGUUCUCUGGAAAGCCAAAGUUAUUGGGGGCUUCCUGAACUACUUGUUAUCACUUUGAAGCAUCUGGCUCGUGGUCAGCUGUUUCACGUUACAAACUUCUACAUUUGUUUCUGAAGAAAUUAGCACAGCUUCCUUCAAUGCUACAUUCUGCAGCGGUUUUGGUUUUGAUUGUAACAUCUCGUUGUUCAUCUUAAAAUCAAAGUCAUUUAUGGAAGCUGCAGAAUUUUAAUGUUCCUCAGACUCAAAAGCAUUUGUUUAACCACCACCAGACAAGGAGAUGAAUAGGGGAGACUGUCUGCUCUUGAUUUAGUGGGACCAGAUUUUUAGGAGAGCUCAACAACUAGUGCAUGUCUUCAACACACUGAUUCUCUUGGACAGCCUGGCUAUUUAUUACAGUGCUUAAAUGAGAAUGACGCUCAUGAAAACCAUGACCUUAGUGAACCGGACAGUUAGUACACACUAUACAUUCCUAUAUUUUCAUCUGACACGGGUGAUUUAUUUGCAACUUCUACCUGCAACUUAAAAGCAGCUUUUGAUUCUCAUUAUUUCUGCAUCUCUUUUAUUGUUCACCCAAAAGGCCUGCCUAUACGAUUGUUGAGCUAUGAGCUGUUUAAGAAUCGCUGCCUGGUACAAAAUGAUAUGCAGGACAAAAACAAAGAGACAGUAUCUUCUUCGGUUACUUUUGUUUAAGCCCUACACAGAGAACAGAAUAGAUUAAAGCAGUGGGAAAAUAAGGGAUCGAGCCUUAUGAUGUGGCAUAGGGUGCUUCUUACAGCCAACCGCACUUCAUUUUUCUCCGCUGAUGCUUCCAAGUGGUUUUCUAGGAUACCCCUGAGCAGAACUCAUUGUAAUAACUGGAGGAAAUAAAUUAAUGGAGAAUUACCGCAAGGUUCAUCUAAGAGAAGAUUUGAUAAACAACACUUCCAGGCUGAGAUAUUCAGCGCAGCCUAAGGAAUGUGGACUUUCCCACUCCCGUCGAACUGAAUGGGAAUCUGUACCUCUGAGUCAAGCUGGGAAGUAGCUGCCACAACCACUAAAAGCAAUUUUGGGUUUCAGGUGCAACCAGAGAUCAAGAAGUCCUCUUAAACUGAAAAUCUCUGACAAAGAAAGAGGUGAAACAAAAAGCGUUUGACCCAUCCAACUGGCAUCGCUACCAGACUUAGUCUCAGCAAGCAAACUCCCAGGCAAGUUGCAAUCCCUGCGCUCCCAGCCUCCAUCAAGAAAAUUGCACAAUUGUCAGACAGAGACAAAAAUGCACAACAGUGGAAUCACAGCCCAAACUGCUGCAGACAGCAUGAGAUGUCCCCUGCGUGUGCAAGCUAGAAAGGAAGCUUAUCAAAAUCAGGGCAAAUUAAAUAUUAUCAUGUUGCUUCUGCCUGGAUUCUCCCCAGGCACAAUGCCCCUUUGGCAAAGCCAUACUUCACCCCUGGGCAUUUUUUAAUGUUGCUUUCCAGAGCAAGACUUAGGUAAACCUUAAUUGGUGCAUGGGUUUUAGGCUGGUUCUCUGUAUGGUCAAAAUGUUUUCCACUUGAAAUGGUUUUGAAACCACUGCUGACACCUGUGCAGUCACAUAUACAUCAGGCACUUCUGUGUCUUUAAAAAGCAACACACACCCCUGGCACUUUGAACCCAGAUUCUACCUCAUUUGUACCCAUGGGAUGCUGGUGAAGUCAUCAUGAUCACACAGGAUAAACGAAGGUUGAAGUUGGCCUGUUUAAAUUAGGGUUUUGUUGGUUUUUCUUUUUUUUUUUUUUUUUUUUAAACCCUUGUAUACUCUUCCCAUUGCUAAAUCUUUUACAGAGGCUACUAAGGUAGAGAGCUGCUGAGCUAAUCCUCUUUGACUCCCUGCCAUCCUGGCAGGUACUGCAAAGCCUAAGGUAAAGUGGAGCAUCAAAAGGAAAAUUAAUGUCUUCUAACAGCAAUUAGAGGAAAUUAUUUAGAUAUAAAUCUUGUUUUAUAUCUUCUCAUACUUGUUUUUCAAUCUUCCCCCUUUGAUUUUUUUUUCCUUUCAGGCUUUUCAGAAAGAAACAUUUAAAAUCCCUCCUGUAAACCAGUGGCAUAAUUAGCUGCAUGUUACACCUGGUAUUUUACUCUUCUACAGAGUAAUUCCUUUGAGCUUUCUUUUUUUUACUAAGCCCCGAGGUCUCCCGAAACUGAAUCUACUUGUUCUCUCCUCUGCUGGCCGACCGGGGUUUGAGGGGGGAACCAAAGGGGGCAGGGGCUGCAGGGUGCCCUCCCACCACCCCCUGGCUGCCGCAGCAGGGACGCGGGUGCCAGGCACACCCAGGGCCUCCAGUGGCAGGCGAACGCACCUCCCGGUCGCCCGCGCUUGGCCUAGGCCAUGAAGCAAUGUGUGUAACCUAAUUGUACUCCGAUAACAUCAAACAAAGUCUCUCUGAUCCAGCAUCUGGCACGCCGCCAUCCUAUCUGGGGUCCGAUCUGACAAGCUUGCCGAUUGAUCAAAUCAUUAUCUGGUAGUGUAGGUGUAUCGUCUAACACGAGCCAAAUUCCUUCGGCUGCUGCUUCUCCUUUCUAGAGAGGAUACGGCUCCAGCAGGCUCCUUCCCCCGUGGUACGUGGCUGAUGGCUUCCGUAGCCUCUUGCAAACUGCAGAGUGGCUCGUGUUCAC